Molecule: long non-coding RNA, 854 nt
Organism: Equus caballus (horse)
Lineage: Eukaryota; Metazoa; Chordata; Mammalia; Perissodactyla; Equidae
Source: Ensembl
CCCGGGAGAUGGAUUCGCUGCGCGGGUUCUCGAACAGGAUGCCCGGCGCGGGAGCCUGCCGGAGCGCGGGCCGCGACCCACGCGAGCCGAUCCGCCCUUCCCCACCAGUCUUCUCCCACCUGGACCUAAAUCCCCAUCUCGUGCUUGGCAACACCUAGGGUGGCUGCGUAAGCAAAAGGAGGAAAAGAUGGAAGGAGAAGACAAAGACUCGGCUCGCUCAGCAGCUCGAGAUUUCGAAACAAGACGUCGCCAAACUGCCGACUUCUUUUGCCUUUGGUUCCUUUUUGCAGUAUUAUUAAUAAAGCAAGAAAGAAAAGAUAAGGAUGGAAAGAUUUAACAAAAGGAAAACACAGUCUCUAGUGCAAUUUUUCUUAGUUUCUUUUGUUUCCUCAGCCAUGUUGGCCAUAAUCAGACUGCAGGUUGAAAAAGGAGAAAAGCGGACCCUUCCAAACUGGAAAAUUGAGAAAUUUACGUUCAUCAAUUAACGUGGAGAAGGCACACUAUGGCCGCGAUAGUUCCUUUGAGAAGUACAUUUGGCUGAAAAUCUCAAAAUUCACAGAUUAAUUUCCAGUUUUGUUCUGUCUUUACUCUUAGCCGAGAAUUGGACUUAAAUAGAUGACUUAAAUUUACCUGAGAUAGUAGCGCCCUCUACCGGGAAGAAAUUUUCCAAAUGCUUUGUCAGUGUGGUCCUUGGACCAAAAAAGUUGGCGGCUCCUGAGAGCUUGUUAGAAACGCAGAAUGUCAGCUCCAUCCCAGACCCGCUGAACUAGAACCAGCAUUUCAACAGGAUCCCCAAGUGAUUCUUUUGCACACUAAAGUUUGAGAAUCACUGUUUUGAGUGCUGUGACGUGGAU